AGAACUUAGCAGAGAUGCUUUGGUGCCUUUCGGGAACUCUGAGACAGGUGCUGCAUGGCUGUCGUCAGCUCGUGUUGUGAAAUGUUGGGUUAAGUCCCGCAACGAGCGCAACCCUUAUCCUUUGUUGCCAGCGGUUAGGCCGGGAACUCAAAGGAGACUGCCAGUGAUAAACUGGAGGAAGGUGGGAUGACGUCAAGUCAUCAUGGCCCUUACGAGUAGGCUACACACGUGCUACAAUGGCGCAUACAAAGAGAAGCGACCUCGCGAGAGCAAGCGGACCUCAUAAAGUGCGUCGUAGUCCGGAUUGGAGUCUGCAACUCGACUCCAUGAAGUCGGAAUCGCUAGUAAUCGUGGAUCAGAAUGCCACGGUGAAUACGUUCCCGGGCCUUGUACACACCGCCCGUCACACCAUGGGAGUGGGUUGCAAAAGAAGUAGGUAGCUUAACCUUCGGGAGGGCGCUUACCACUUUGUGAUUCAUGACUGGGGUGAAGUCGUAACAAGGUAAGCGUAGUGCU
Molecule: ribosomal RNA, 516 nt
Filed under: uncultured bacterium
Lineage: Bacteria
Description: bacterial SSU rRNA
Rfam family: Bacterial small subunit ribosomal RNA
Source: RNAcentral